RNAcentral lists this ribosomal RNA (384 nucleotides) under uncultured bacterium. RNAcentral describes it as "bacterial SSU rRNA". It matches the Rfam family "Bacterial small subunit ribosomal RNA", at positions 30 to 416 of the family's 1533-position model. The record is from RNAcentral.
AUUGAACGCUGGCGGCAUGCCUUACACAUGCAAGUCGAACGGUAACAGGCCUUCGGGUGCCGACGAGUGGCGAACGGGUGAGUAAUGCAUCGGAACGUACCUUUCAGUGGGGGAUAACGUAGCGAAAGUUACGCUAAUACCGCAUAUUCUGUGAGCAGGAAAGCAGGGGAUCGCAAGACCUUGCGCUGAUUGAGCGGCCGAUGUCAGAUUAGCUAGUUGGUGAGGUAAAGGCUCUCCAAGGCGACGAUCUGUAGCGGGUCUGAGAGGAUGAUCCGCCACACUGGAACUGAGACACGGUCCAGACUCCUACGGGAGGCAGCAGUGGGGAAUUUUGGACAAUGGGGGCAACCCUGAUCCAGCCAUGCCGCGUGAGUGAAGAAGGCC